RNAcentral lists this ribosomal RNA (477 nucleotides) under uncultured bacterium. RNAcentral describes it as "partial 16S ribosomal RNA". It matches the Rfam family "Bacterial small subunit ribosomal RNA", at positions 30 to 507 of the family's 1533-position model. The record is from RNAcentral.
AUUGAACGCUGGCGGCAUGCCUUACACAUGCAAGUCGAACGGUAACAGGUUAAGCUGACGAGUGGCGAACGGGUGAGUAAUGUAUCGGAACGUGCCCAGUCGUGGGGGAUAACUGCUCGAAAGAGCAGCUAAUACCGCAUACGACCUGAGGGUGAAAGCGGGGGAUCGCAAGACCUCGCGCGAUUGGAGCGGCCGAUAUCAGAUUAGGUAGUUGGUGAGGUAAAGGCUCACCAAGCCGACGAUCUGUAGCUGGUCUGAGGGGACGACCAGCCACACUGGGACUGAGACACGGCCCAGACUCCUACGGGAGGCAGCAGUGGGGAAUUUUGGACAAUGGGCGCAAGCCUGAUCCAGCCAUGCCGCGUGCGGGAAGAAGGCCUUCGGGUUGUAAACCGCUUUUGUCAGGGAAGAAAAGGUUCUGGCUAAUACCUGGGACUCAUGACGGUACCUGAAGAAUAAGCACCGGCUAACUACGUG